Molecule: long non-coding RNA, 2124 nt
Organism: Conger conger (European conger)
Lineage: Eukaryota; Metazoa; Chordata; Actinopteri; Anguilliformes; Congridae
Exons: 5
Source: RefSeq, a predicted model, not a curated record
CCCUGUAUGGAUGUGUUUCUAUGCGUUCCUCCACGUCCUGACUGCCACAGCGGCCUUUCAGCACAACACUGAUGAUUAUGAUGAUGAUGUUGAAUGGGGUACAGUAUCAUUUGAUAAAUGCCUUUUUAUCAUUGAUUGUGGAGCUUGAUAGACUUUGGACUGGUUUUGAUUCCUAUUUUAUCCACAUAAACAACCAAUUUGAAUUAUCUGUCAUUGUUUUUAUAAUAAUUUUUCUGUAUCAGGAGUAACUGUACGACUAGUAAAAACCAGGAUAGAGUGACAUUAUUAAAAAUGACAACUACAUUUUACAAAUCAGUGUACAUAAUGAAUCAUUUUUAUUCAAGUAAAUAAACGUACUUAAGAAACCGAUUUCAUCUGAAAAUCAAGCAUUAUCUCUUUACUUAACUUGCAUACUCAAACUGUCCUCCUUGCUUUUCAGAUGUAGCUCAUAUCUUAGUGUACGUGUUUGGUUCUACUUUAAGUGUCAUUAAUUCAGUUGCUCUAGCAACAGAAGUGUUUCUGAAAGCAGGUGAGUACAGUAAAAACAUUUUGCAUCUCAAUGAAAACAUCUGUGGUGAUUGUCCCCUUGGUGAUGUGAGAAGUGUGUGGAUACAGUGGCUUCAGAAAGUAUUGUUGGCAUGCCAAACAACUACAACACAGUACAACAGGAGGGACUGUCUUGGGAUAAACAAGCUUUGGUUUUGUAUUUUGUCCAUAAAUUGUCUGUCUGUAACAUUAUGUUUUUUUUAAGGCAGAUGACCUUCAUCUUUAGACUUAAGCCUGAUUUAUACUUCUGCGUCGAAUCUACGCAGAGGCUAAGACACGUAGUUACAUUUCUGGGGAGGUGCGCAUCAGGCUACGCCGUGGGCUAUGGUGUAGGGAACGUAGAUACGUGUAGAAGUAUAAAUCAGGCUUUAGAUAAAGAAUAAUAUUAUUUUCUUAAUUGUAAUCUAGUUGUGAGUUGUGGCAACAGGUUGCACUGCUAAUCAAUUGAUAACUGAUAUCUUGGAUAAUAAUUAACAAAUUAAAUAAAACGCAUGCAUUUUACAUGUUGGAUAUGUGAGGGGUUUAACUGAUGCGCUCAUUUUUGGUAUUGAGAGUGGUGAAUGUUAAAUGAGGGUGUUAGCCGUUAAAACCGUUGGAUUUGGAAAACUUAUUUUAUUUAAACUUCACUCCCUGACACGAAAGUGUUAGAAAUUAUUGUAAAUGUGACCGUCUCUGAGAAAUGUGUUGUACUUGUGCUGACUCUGGAAAUCACAAGGCUGAACUGUGGGAUUCUCUGUAAGGUUUUUAUUAUGUAUGUCUUUACAGAGAAAGGGGAGCGAACUGUGGAAGAUUUUUGGUUGAUCGUCUUGCCUUUUGAAUCUUUAUUUUUGGCCUGUUGGGUUAGUUUACAGAUGUAUGCAUACUAUCAGCAGGAAAGAGAAGAAAUACAUAGAUUGCUGUGCAUUGCCCAGUGCUGCCGAAGACGAGUCCAAUCUCCAGCAUCAUCUCGGCAUGAUCAGACACGACAAGCAGAACCAGUAGAGAUGAACCUUCUCUCCACCUGAGCAGAGUACAGCACAAAGGCAGGAGGGAAUAUGAAGAUGGUCUCAGUGACGUGUAAAGGAUCCUUUGUUGUCGACACAAGGACACAGUCUAAAGGCCAGAUUAUGUGCACCCACAAUGCACUUUGCAGUAUUGUUCUUUGCUAAUUGGUACACUGAAUUAUGACACCCUUCAUCUGUAAAUAUCAGUUCUCCCUUUGCUAAUACUGCUCCAUGCUGAAAACAUGUUCCUACUUUGUUUGAAAUCAGGAUGUUUGUUUCUCAAGAACAUUUCUCUCACAUUCUGGUGAAAGCCUAGCUAGCGAACAUAGCUUUAGUUAAUGCUGUGAAAAUGUUACAUAUUUGGCCAUUUUUGUUGAAUUCAAUGGCACUUUAUUUUCUUUAUUCUUUAUUUAGGAGACGCAGUGCAUUAUGACACUGCGGUGUCAAUGCGUUUGUUACCUGCUUGUUUUCCUGAGUGUGGCAACUAACGGUGCUGAGGGUGCUACAGCACUCCUUGGUGAGCUCAUGGCAAAAUGCUUUGUAUGAGAAUGACCUUAUAAUAUUGUAAUUAAAUUCAUUAAAACACUUUACAUAA